AGGACGAACGCUGGCGGCGUGCUUAACACAUGCAAGUCGAGCGGAAAGGCCCUUCGGGGUACUCGAGCGGCGAACGGGUGAGUAACACGUGAGUAACCUGCCCCUAGCUCUGGGAUAGCUCCGGGAAACCGGGAUUAAUACCAGAUACGACCACUUUAGACAUCUGUCGUGGUGGAAAGGAUUCCGGCUAGGGAUGGGCUCGCGGCCUAUCAGCUUGUUGGUGGGGUAACGGCCUACCAAGGCGACGACGGGUAGCCGGCCUGAGAGGGCGACCGGCCACACUGGGACUGAGACACGGCCCAGACUCCUACGGGAGGCAGCAGUGGGGAAUAUUGCGCAAUGGGCGAAAGCCUGACGCAGCGACGCCGCGUGGGGAUGAAGGCCUUCGGGUUGUAAACCCCGUUUCAGCAGGGACGAAGCGAAAGUGACGGUACCUGCAGAAGAAGCGCCGGCUAACUACGCGCCAGCAGCCGC
This 474-nucleotide ribosomal RNA is filed under the name uncultured bacterium. RNAcentral's name for it is "SSU rRNA". It matches the Rfam family "Bacterial small subunit ribosomal RNA", at positions 26 to 518 of the family's 1533-position model. The record is from RNAcentral.